AAAAAAUGAUAGGAAAAAUUCAAACAUGAAUUUUUGUAUAAAAAAUGAAAAAAUUAGAUGAAAUUCGACGAACAUUUACAGCUUCAGAAGUACGGUGUACCACUAUUAGGCUUAUGUACCUAUUUUGACAUGCGAAACUAUACAUAACUAUUAGUUUCACUAGUCGUGUAAUAAUUUAUUUAUUUAUUCUCAUUUUCUAAAUGGGUAAGGCCUUGAUGUCCCCCAGGUUGUAAUCCCGUUUAUUCUUUUAUUUUAUUCACUAGCUUGUUGAGUUUUUUUUUUUUUUGGGGCUAACAUAUGCGACUAAGUUGAGGUUAAUAAUUGAUGUAACCAAUAUUAUCAUUAUCAUUAGUUCUUUUCUUACCAUGCACGAUCAUCUAUAUUAUUAUCAUUUUUUUUAAAGAAUUUAGUUCUCCUACGCAAUUAAGAGAAUUUCGUAAUUAAUUAAUAGCUUAUGAUUAUUAAAUAUAUAAAUGGAUCAUCUUGCAAUAUUUAGUGGUCUCUUGAAAGUCACUUUCUUGAUCCUCCACUUGAUGAGGAAAGCAAAUGGGUUGCUCCUUAGGGGGUCAUAUUCAUAUUAUAUACGUGAAGUUUACUGAAGACCCUGAGGCAGAUUCAAUGUCAGCCUUAUAAUCAAUGCCCUUUGCAAUCACCCAUUUACUUGACAUUAAUUUCAAACGACCACCAAAUUAUUCAAAUCCCCAUUCUCUGUGUAUGAAAUUACCGUAUAUUAACUACAAGAUACAAGAUCAUGAAUAUUCAUCAUUAAUCGUUGCAUAUUAAAAGCCCUAGCAUAUGAUGAUGCUGGCUAUUUAUGCAUGGGUGAGAAUUCAAUUUUAUUGAAUUAUGUUAAAAAGUAAAAGAAAAAAAUAGAAGGUCGAAAGUUGAGCUAUAUAUAUUUAUUGACAAAUAAUAGGAAGAGAGAAAACCUCUCAUAUUGGUCAAAAUUAGAGGAAAAAAAAUCCCGCUUUUGAAGGUUCAACCAAAAAUUUGAAGUUUUUAGUUUUCUUUUUAUUUGAUUAUAUGCGUUUCAAGUUUUCAACUGUUAUUUAUUCCCUUAACUAAAAAAUAAAUAAAUAAAUAAAGCCUGCUACUUAUUCCUUUUCAAGAAGCUCUCUCAUUAAUUUCUGAAAAGUUUCCAACUCCAAGGAACUCCAAUGGUGAUGGAGACUAACUAGUGGCAAUCAUCAUUGUCUGAGAAUGUCUUAAUGGUUUAUUAAUUUUGUUAAAAAGAUAACAUGACUGUGUAUUAAAGUCUCUUAAGAUAUCAUUAAAAUACUCUUUAAAUGAGGAUUUUAUUAUUUAUUUAAAAAAUUACACUAUUAAUAAAAAUAUUAAAAUUUCUCGAAUAAAAUUAUUCUUCUACCUUUAUAAUAUUAAAGAACGAUUUCUCUUUCAUCGAAUAAUAUAAACAUAUUUUUUAUACUAUAAUUAUUAAAGAGAGACAAAUAUUAUAACUACAUUAUUAAAAAUUUAGAGGUAGUUAAAUUUAGAGAAAGAAGAAUUUCAUUAAAAUUAUGUAAACUAAUUAUUUAUAUUUGAAUAAUCUUUUAAGAGAGAGGCCUUUUUUUAUUAUUCUAUUUAUCACAUAAACAAAUAAAUAAACAUUUAAAGAAAUAAAAUUAAAUGAGUUUUUUUGUUAAUACUCUUAAUACGUAGUUAUAUGAGUAAGAUUGUGACUCCACUUUUUGUAAUAAUUUGAGAAAUUUUAUUCACUAAAGUAGCGCAUGCAUGGUAAUUAGUGGAUACAACAAUACUCUUUUAUGUAAUCAAUAUUAUGAGCCAUGCAUGACACUAAAUAUGAGGAAAAAAAUGUCUAUAGUGCAUUAAUGCUAUUUCCAAAUCCAUUUGAGAAUUGGAAAUCAAAUUACUCGAGUAAAUCAAGACUGAUUGGAUACAAAAAAAGAAAAGAGUAUUCCUAAGUCCAGAUCACCAAUAAACAACAACACACUGGUUGCCCUAAUAUUCUGAGUUAAUCAGUAAAGCACCCUCUAGCUAGACAGGUAAUGAAAAUGCAAACAAGUAAACAGUUGCCAUGAUAACUAAUUUUGUUGAGAACUUUGAAAGCCACAAAAACAGGAUAUCAGAAAAGGUGAUUGUGACAAUUUCAGAAAUUUCAUCCUCAUGAUCGAAGAACUGGUAGAGUCAGUUUAAUCCAGCAUGUCCAAUUGCCCAUCUUGUUAAUUAAUUACUGUCCCCAUUCUUAAGAUAUUUAUUUCUUGCUAUUUUGUCUACAUAACUAGUAGUUCCUCUUUCUUUUUCUGAAAUGUUAUUAUCGGCAGGGUAAAAAUUCAUUUAGUCCAUGUAUUUAAUAUUAGUGUUCAUUUAGUCCCUAUAUUUUUAAAAAUACUCUGAAACAUCCAUGCCGUUAAAGUAUUGAUAUCCCUACCGUUACUUUUUAUUUCUUUUGAUUUACUUUUACAAUAUUA
This 2429-nucleotide long non-coding RNA is filed under the name Citrus x clementina. Its description in RNAcentral is "Citrus clementina (C. clementina) long non-coding RNA (CCLE_LNC005307)". Lineage: Eukaryota; Viridiplantae; Streptophyta; Magnoliopsida; Sapindales; Rutaceae. The record is from RNAcentral.